GAUGAACGCUGGCGGCGUGCCUAAUACAUGCAAGUCGAGCGAACGGACGAGAAGCUUGCUUCUCUGAUGUUAGCGGCGGACGGGUGAGUAACACGUGGAUAACCUACCUAUAAGACUGGGAUAACUUCGGGAAACCGGAGCUAAUACCGGAUAAUAUCUUGAACCGCAUGGUUCAAAAGUGAAAGACGGUCUUGCUGUCACUUAUAGAUGGAUCCGCGCUGCAUUAGCUAGUUGGUAAGGUAACGGCUUACCAAGGCAACGAUGCAUAGCCGACCUGAGAGGGUGAUAGGCCACACUGGAGCUGGAACGCGGUCCAGGCUCCUACGGGAGGCAGCAGUAGGGAAUCUUCCGCAGUGGGCGAGAGCCUGACGGAGCGGCGCCGCGUGUGUGAUGAAGGUCUUCGGUUCGUAAAACUCUGUUAUUAGGGAAGAACAUAUGUGUACGUAACUGUGCACAUCUUGACGGUACCUAAUCAAGAAGCCCCGGCUAACUACGUG
RNAcentral lists this ribosomal RNA (497 nucleotides) under uncultured bacterium. RNAcentral describes it as "partial 16S ribosomal RNA". It matches the Rfam family "Bacterial small subunit ribosomal RNA", at positions 28 to 507 of the family's 1533-position model. The record is from RNAcentral.